GUGCCCAAGCCUUCUGCCCUGCUCCCCCUCUCUAAUCCUUGCUAUCUGGGUGCUAGUGCUGUCUCAAUGCAAUGCACCUGGGCAAGGAUUCAGAGAGGGGGAGCUCAACUGU
This 112-nucleotide microRNA precursor is filed under the name Gorilla gorilla (western gorilla). RNAcentral describes it as "microRNA ggo-mir-502a precursor". Its record names the gene ggo-mir-502a. The stretch from base 21 to 104 matches the Rfam family "mir-500 microRNA precursor family". RNAcentral also lists the same sequence under 2 other names. Lineage: Eukaryota; Metazoa; Chordata; Mammalia; Primates; Hominidae. The record is from miRBase by way of RNAcentral.